This 490-nucleotide ribosomal RNA is filed under the name uncultured bacterium. RNAcentral describes it as "partial 16S ribosomal RNA". It matches the Rfam family "Bacterial small subunit ribosomal RNA", at positions 29 to 507 of the family's 1533-position model. The record is from RNAcentral.
AGUGAACGCUGGCGGCAGGCCUAACACAUGCAAGUCGAACGGCAGCACAAGAUAGCUUGCUCUCUGGGUGGCGAGUGGCGGACGGGUGAGGAAUGCAUCGGAAUCUGCCCAUUUGUGGGGGAUAACCUCGGGAAACCGGGACUAAUACCGCAUACGACCUACGGGUGAAAGCAGGGGAUCUUCGGACCUUGCGCAGAUGGAUGAGCCGAUGCCGGAUUAGCUAGUUGGAGGGGUAAAGGCCCACCAAGGCGACGAUCCGUAGCUGGUCUGAGAGGAUGAUCAGCCACACUGGGACUGAGACACGGCCCAGACUCCUACGGGAGGCAGCAGUGGGGAAUAUUGGACAAUGGGCGCAAGCCUGAUCCAGCCAUGCCGCGUGUGUGAAGAAGGCCUUCGGGUUGUAAAGCACUUUUGUUGGGAAAGAAAAGCAGCCGGUUAAUACCCGGUUGUCAUGACGGUACCCAAAGAAUAAGCACCGGCUAACUUCGUG